AGGACGAACGCUGGCGGCGUGCUUAACACAUGCAAGUCGAGCGGUAAGGCCUUUCGGGGUACACGAGCGGCGAACGGGUGAGUAACACGUGGGUGAUCUGCCCUGCACUUCGGGAUAAGCCUGGGAAACUGGGUCUAAUACCGGAUAUGACCUCCGAUCGCAUGGUUGGUGGUGGAAAGAUUUAUCGGUGCAGGAUCGGGCCCGCGGCCUAUCA
This 214-nucleotide ribosomal RNA is filed under the name uncultured soil bacterium. RNAcentral's name for it is "partial 16S ribosomal RNA". It matches the Rfam family "Bacterial small subunit ribosomal RNA", at positions 26 to 243 of the family's 1533-position model. The record is from RNAcentral.